GAUGAACGCUGGCGGCGUGCCUAAUACAUGCAAGUCGAGCGAACAGACGAGGAGCUUGCUCCUCUGACGUUAGCGGCGGACGGGUGAGUAACACGUGGAUAACCUACCUAUAAGACUGGGAUAACUUCGGGAAACCGGAGCUAAUACCGGAUAAUAUAUUGAACCGCAUGGUUCAAUAGUGAAAGACGGUUUUGCUGUCUCUUAUAGAUGGAUCCGCGCCGCAUUAGCUAGUUGGUAAGGUAACGGCUUACCAAGGCAACGAUGCGUAGCCGACCUGAGAGGGUGAUCGGCCACACUGGAACUGAGACACGGUCCAGACUCCUACGGGAGGCAGCAGUAGGGAAUCUUCCGCAAUGGGCGAAAGCCUGACGGAGCAACGCCGCGUGAGUGAUGAAGGUCUUCGGAUCGUAAAACUCGGUUAUGAGGGAAGAACAAAUGUGUAAGUAACUAUGCACUGCUUGACGGUACCUAAUCAGAAAGCCACGGCUAACUACGUG
This 497-nucleotide ribosomal RNA is filed under the name uncultured bacterium. RNAcentral describes it as "partial 16S ribosomal RNA". It matches the Rfam family "Bacterial small subunit ribosomal RNA", at positions 28 to 507 of the family's 1533-position model. The record is from RNAcentral.